UGCAUGCAGUCGAACGGGCAAUGGGGCUUCGGCCCCGGCGCUAGUGGCAGACGGCUGAGUAACACGUAAGUGAUCUGCCCCGGAGCGGGGGAUAAUCCGGAGAAAUCCGGCCUAAUACCCCGUACGUUCAUAUGGUCAAGGCCGUAUGAAGAAAGGUUUCGGCCGCUCUGGGAGGAGCUUGCGGCCUAUCAGGUAGUUGGCGGGGUAAUAGCCCACCAAGCCGAAGACGGGUAACCGAUGUGAGAGCAUGAUCGGUCAGAGGGGGACUGAGACACGGCCCCCACUCCUACGGGAGGCAGCAGCAGGGAAUCUUGCGCAAUGGGCGAAAGCCUGACGCAGCGACACCGCGUGGGGGAAGAAGGCCUCAGGGUUGUAAACCCCUUUUCUGGGGGAAGAGAUAGGACGGUACCUCAGGAAUAAGCAUCGGCUAACUACGUGCCAGCAGCCGCGGUAAUACGUAGGAUGCAAGCGUUGUCCGGAUUUACUGGGCGUAAAGGGUGUGUAGGCGGCAUGGUAAGUCUCAUGUGAAAUCUCCCGGCUCAACUGGGAGGGGUCAUGGGAAACUGCCAAGCUGGAGGGCAGCAGAGGAAAGCGGAAUUCCGGGAGUAGUGAUGGAAUGCGUAGAUACCCGGAGGAACACCAGAGGCGAAGGCGGCUUUCUGGGCUGUACCUGACGCUGAGACACGAAAGCGUGGGGAGCAAACCGGAUUAGAUACCCGGGUAGUCCACGCCCUAAACGAUGGAUACUAGAUGUAGGGGGUAUCGACCCCCCCUGCGUCGGAGUUAACGCGAUAAGUAUCCCGCCUGGGGAGUACGG
This 817-nucleotide ribosomal RNA is filed under the name uncultured Chloroflexota bacterium. RNAcentral's name for it is "bacterial SSU rRNA". It matches the Rfam family "Bacterial small subunit ribosomal RNA", at positions 52 to 885 of the family's 1533-position model. Lineage: Bacteria; Bacillati; Chloroflexota. The record is from RNAcentral.